AUGGCCGGCGGCGAGGGGGCUGCGGCAGUGAUGUGCACCCCGGCGUUCGUGGGGCGGGUGCUGCGCAGCCGGUGGUACGUGGUGUUCGCGUCCAUGGUGGUGAUGGCGGCGUCCGGGUCGACCUACAUCUUCGCGCUCUACUCCAAGGAGCUCCGGUCUGUGCUGGGGUACAACCAGCAGACGCUCAACACGCUCGGCUUCUUCAAGGACCUGGGCACCAACGUCGGCGUCGUCUCCGGCCUGGUGCAGCAGGUGGCGCCCACCUGGGCCGUGCUCCUCAUCGGCGCCGGCAUGAAUUUGGCGGGGUACCUCAUGGUGUACCUAGCGCUGACUGAGCGCACGGCGGCGCCGCCCGUCUGGCUCAUGUGCAUCUACAUGUGCGUCGGCGCCAACGCGCUCACCUUCUCCAACACCGGCGCGCUCGUCGCCUGCGUCAAGAACUUCCCCGAGAGCCGCGGCAUCGUCAUCGGCCUGCUCAAGGGCUUCGUCGGCCUCAGCGGCGCCAUCUACACGCAGCUCUACCUCGCCAUCUACGGCGACGACGCCAAGUCCCUCGUCCUCCUCAUCGCAUGGCUCCCCGCCGCCGUCUACAUCUUCUUCGUCCACACCAUUCGCGUCCUGCCCUACCGGCGACGCGCCGAGGGCGAUGAGCCCAACAGCAAGCCCUUCUUCUGCUUCCUCUACAUCUCCAUCGCGCUCGCCACCUACCUCCUCGUCAUGAUCGUGGUGCAGAAGCAGGUGCCCAGCUUCUCCCACGCCGCCUACGCCGUCGGCGCCACCGUGCUCCUCCUCAUCCUCUUCCUCCCCCUCGGCGUCGUCAUCAAGGAGGAGUACGCCGCCGUCUCCCAGCUCGAGGAGUCUCUCCAGCAGCCGCCGGCCAUCGCCGUCGAGGAACCAGCUGCAGCAAGCACGAAGAAAGAGGACGACGAGCCGUCGUGUGGUAUGAAGGGCUGCUUCACCAACAUGUUCAAGCCGCCGGCGCUGGGGGAGGACUACACCAUCAUGCAGGCGCUGGUGAGCGUGGAGAUGCUGGUGCUCUUCGUCGUGUCGGUGUUCGGCAUCGGCGGCACGCUCACGGCCAUCGACAACAUGGCGCAGAUCGGCCAGUCGCUGGGCUACCCGCACAAGAGCAUCAACACCUUCGUCUCCCUCAUCAGCAUCUGGAACUACGCCGGCCGAGUUGGCGCCGGCUACAUGUCUGAGUUCUUCGUUGCCCGGUACAGGUUCCCGCGGCCGCUGGCACUCACGGCCGUGCUCCUCUUCUCCUGCGUCGGCCACCUCCUGAUCGCCUUCGGCGUGCCGCAGUCCCUCUACGCCGCGUCGGUGAUACUUGGUUUCUGCUUCGGCGCGCAGUGGCCGCUGCUCUUCUCCAUCAUCUCCGAGGUCUUCGGCCUCAAGUACUACUCCACGCUCUUCAACUUCGGCUCCGCGGCCAGUCCCAUCGGCGCCUACGUGCUCAACGUGCGCAUCGCCGGCCGCAUGUACGACGCCGAGGCCGCCAGGCAGCACGGCGGGCACGCCGCCGCCGUCGGCGACAAGAUCUGCAAGGGGGUGAUGUGCUUCAAGCACGCGUUCCUCAUCAUCACGGGGGUCACGCUCGCCGGCGCGCUCGUCUCGCUCGUGCUCGUGUGGAGGACCAGAAACUUCUACAAGGGUGACAUCUAUGCCAAGUUCAAGGUGGCGCCCGUCGUCGCAGCCGCCGAUUAUCAAGGAGGGGAGACGGUGGAGGGCAGCGUCGUUACAGAGGAGGACGAGGCAAAGAAGCAGGGGAAGAACAAGAAACUGCAGGAGGUCAACAAUGACGAGUUCAAGUGA
RNAcentral lists this ribosomal RNA (1815 nucleotides) under Triticum aestivum (bread wheat). RNAcentral's name for it is "partial small subunit ribosomal RNA". The record is from RNAcentral. Lineage: Eukaryota; Viridiplantae; Streptophyta; Magnoliopsida; Poales; Poaceae.